Long non-coding RNA from Haliotis rubra (blacklip abalone), 160 nucleotides. RefSeq lists it as uncharacterized. The transcript is spliced from 3 exons. NCBI's taxonomy places the organism in Eukaryota, Metazoa, Mollusca, Gastropoda, Lepetellida, Haliotidae. The record is from RefSeq and is a predicted model, not a curated record.
CAACACUACAGUUGUAAAAUGGCAACCUUAAAUCAGCAACACUACAGCUGUACCAUGGCAACCUUAAGUCAGCAACACUACAGCUGUACCAUGGCAACCUUAAAUCAGCAACACUACAGCUGUACCAUGGCAACCUUAAGUCAGCAACACUACAGCUCUA